AUUGAACGCUGGCGGCAGGCCUAACACAUGCAAGUCGAACGAGUGGCGGACGGGUGAGUAAUGUCUGGGAAACUUCCCGAUGGAGGGGGAUAACUACUGGCAACAGUAGCUAAUACCGCAUACCAUCGGAUGUGCCCAGAUGGGAUUAGCUAGUAGGUGGGGUAACGGCUCACCUAGGCGACGAUCCCUAGCUGGUCUGAGGGGAUGACCAGCCAACCUGGAACGGAGACACGGUCAAGACUCCUACGGGAGGCAGCAGUGGGGAAUAUUGCACAAUGGGCGAAAGCCUGAUGCAGCCAUGCCGCGUGGAGGAAGAAGGCCUUCGGGUUGUAAAGUACUUUCAGCGAGGAGGCGUUACUCGCAGAAGAAGCAACGGCUAACUCCGUGCCAGCAGCCGCGGUAAUAC
RNAcentral lists this ribosomal RNA (406 nucleotides) under uncultured bacterium. Its description in RNAcentral is "partial 16S ribosomal RNA". It matches the Rfam family "Bacterial small subunit ribosomal RNA", at positions 30 to 526 of the family's 1533-position model. The record is from RNAcentral.